CAGACUUAAGCAGCACGAUGUGGCAGAACAAUCCCCAUUGCUGAAGGAAUGUCCAGUUCUUGCCCUUUUAAAGCUGCUGCCUCUGUGACACGUCAAAUUAGGAUCACUCCUGGGGACCUAGGGGCAGAGCCACGCCCCAUGAAAGGGCUCUCCCGGGCAACCUGCCUCUUCUGCUCUCUUCUCUGAAGCAGUGAUUUGGGGGCGGGGAGAGGGGCGUGGCCGGCAGGUGUUAGAUGGAGCCCUCCUCAGGGGGCCAGGCUGGAAGCAGGAAGAAUAGCAGCUAACAGUUGUUGUGACUUAGGACUAUCUCGUCCUCACAACAAGCCUGCGAUGAAGAGACUCUUCCUAUUAUUCCCACUUUUCAGAUUUCUGUUUUAAGACGCACAUUUUCAGAGAUGCUGACCAGGUCUGACUCCCUCAUUUUAGAAACAGGAACACUCAAGUCCCAAGAAGUUAAGUGACUUGGCCAAGAAUGUUCAGUCUGCUAAUAGCACAGCAUGAACGCUGCUGCCAACAGCACCACCAACAUAGCCUGAUUCCUAGCCCAGGAGCCAGGACUCUCCUCAGAGCACUUUUGUUGCAGCUGAAAGCGGAUCUGGAGUUCAGGGGUGAGGUCUGAGCUGGAGAUGUGAGUUUGGGGGUCAUCAUGCAUCAGUGGUAUUUAAAACUACAAGGCUGGGUGAAGUCACCAAGGGAGUGAGCAUAGAUGGAAAAAGAGCUUCAAGUAAAGCACCCUGGGCAUUUCAGUGAUCAGUGAUUGGGAAGAUGAGAAGGAACCUGCACAGGAGACUAAGAGGAAGUGGUCAUUGAGGGCAUCCAGAAAGAGUGGUAUUCCAGGAACCAAGAAAAGACAUGCUUCAAGAAAGAGAGAGUAAUCGACUAUGCCGAAUGCUGCCGAGAGGUCAAGAAAAGGUAGAACUGAGAAUUGACUGUUGAAUGUAGCAAGAGGGAGGCCAUUGGUGACCUUGACAAAAGCUUUUUCAGGAGAAUGUUGGGAGCAAACACUUGAGAUUGGAGUGACUCAAGAGAAAAUGGGAGGAGAGACGUUGAAGACAGUGAGACAGACAACUCUUCCAAGUUAGGCUCCCUUACUGCCCCUUAGCUGUUCAGAGUCCAUCCAGGCCUACAUCCUAUCCUUGUCCUCCUCCUCCAUUUUCCACUUCCUCUCUUCCUUCUUUCUGUGCCCCAAAACUUGCCUAUUCCAUCUCCCAUUCCCUUAAGCCCUACUUUCCUUCAGGAAAAAGCCAUCUAAUAAACUGAUAUGCACUGAGAGUUUAAUUAAUAAGAAUUUAUUGAUAUUUUGCUGCCUUCAGGAUUAUGUGUAUUUUAACAAACAACUCUGUCAGAAAAACAGGGUUUCUUCCCCAAAGGAAAUCAUGGCAGCCAUAGAUGGGAGGAAGGAAAGAGGCUGAGCCAGGGACACCAUAUGGUCCCCCAUCCAUCACUAUCCAAUACCUACUUUUGACCUGCACAGUUUGAAAAGCUGAAAUUUUCCAUUUUGAAAUAAACUUUCAAGCUGAAGAAGUGACACAGAACAGUGAUGGCAUUGCCUGGCCCCAUGCUACUCAAGGGAGGUGCCAAGACACACUGAGUCUUCACCAGUUGUGAGGCAUUCUGAGGACUGUGUUACUAUAAUAAAAUUCCAAAGUACAAAUGGUUUCCUUUGGUCCAUAAAUUAUCUGGGGGAUCCCCAUAUUAAGAAGGCUCUCCAUGUGUUCUCUUCAGAGAGGGUAAAGGCAAAGUGGAGUUACAACUUAUGGGCUGAGAACUGCACAUAACCCACUGCUUGUCAUAUCCAUGCUGGGCCCCAGUGGCCAUUAUCCAGACUUCAUUUCUAGAUAAGACUGAGACAUGGAAAGUUUGAAGAGCACUGCUGGUCACACCCCUGGUCAGUAAAUUAAACCAUUAUUCGUAUCGAUUUAAAAGUCAUACACAAGAGGCAAUCUAAGAAGAGAUCACUAGUAACAAGACUAUCAAAACAGGAGACUUUACCAGAGUAAAGCAAGGAAAACGUUCUGCUCCAUCCCAAAUUUGACUUCUUCCUUGAAGGUACUGAAUGUGGGGAUUGCUCAGAAGCACCUGAGGAAGGAAGAGAUGACCUGCCAAGGAUGGCAGAGCCAGAAGACGCAGGAAGCUCUAAGGAUGGAGCUUUCAACCAAAUCCUCCUUGUUCUCAGAGACAGAGAGAGAGAUAAUGAACUGAGAGGGGCAAGAUUUAGCUUGCAUCUUGCUCUAGUCACAGACACUUCAUUAACUUCUUAAUUCAAAUGGAAUUUAAGAAUUCUCUAAGAAGAUUUGCUUCUCUCAAGUUCAUUAGCUUCACGGAAGCCAUUAGACUUCCUGGAAUUUUUAUUAAUGAUGCUAAUUAUCCAGCAAUAAUAUGCAAGACCCCUGUUACCUUCAGAGGGUAGUAGAAGACUGAGACGUCACAGAAGAACAGGUGAGAAGUUGUGGUUGGGCCGUGGAAGUCAAACUGCUGAAGAAUGGGGCCGGUCCCAUGGCUGAGUGGUUAAGUUUACACGCUCUGCUUUGGAGGCCCAGGGUUUCACCAGUUCGGAUCCUGGGCAUGGACGUGGCACUGCUCAUCAAGCCAUGCUGAGGCGGCAUCCCAUAUGCCACAACUAGAAGGACCCACAACUAAAAAUAUACAACUAUGUACCAGGGGGCUUUGGGAAGAAAAAGGAAAAAUAAAAUCUUUAAAAAAAAAACCUGCUAAGACUAAAGGACGAGUGUUGUAAACGUGGGGACAUUCAAAACAGACCAAGUGGGGCAGUGAAAAAGAAAAAUAGGAUCACACUUAUCAAUAA
Molecule: long non-coding RNA, 2806 nt
Organism: Equus caballus (horse)
Lineage: Eukaryota; Metazoa; Chordata; Mammalia; Perissodactyla; Equidae
Source: Ensembl